RNAcentral lists this ribosomal RNA (468 nucleotides) under uncultured bacterium. Its description in RNAcentral is "partial 16S ribosomal RNA". It matches the Rfam family "Bacterial small subunit ribosomal RNA", at positions 28 to 507 of the family's 1533-position model. The record is from RNAcentral.
GACGAACGCUGGCGGCGUGCUUAACACAUGCAAGUCGAACGGAAAGGCCCUGCUUUUGUGGGGUGCUCGAGUGGCGAACGGGUGUGUAACACGUGUGUAACCUGCCCUUGACUUUGGGAUAACUCCAGGAAACUGGGGCUCAUACCGGGUAGGAGCACUUGCUGCAUGGUGGGGGUUGGAAAGUUUCGGCGGUUGGGGAUGGACUCGCGGCUUAUCAGCUUGUUGGUGGGGUAGUGGCUUACCAAGGCUUUGACGGGUAGCCGGACUGAGAGGGUGACAGGCCACAUUGGGACUGAGAUACGACCCAGACGCCGACGGGAGGCAGCAGUGGGGAAUAGUGCACAAUGGGCGGAAGCCUGAUGCAGCGACGCCGCGUGCGGGAUGACGGCCUUCGGGUUGUAAACCGCUUUCGCCUGUGACGAAGCGUGAGUGACGGUAAUGGGUAAAGAAGCACCGGCUAACUACGUG